GAACCUCCGAUUUAGCGCCAAAACACCGUUACCAUAGUAUCCACAUAACGAACAAACUUUCGAUACUGGAAUUAUGAAAGGGUCGAAGGGCAAGACUCGUUUUACUUUCAAUACAUGGACAUUUGACAAAACAAGGACACGUAAAGACUGAUAAAACAUUUCAAAAUGGACCAAUGGAGACCAGAACGAUGCUGCCUGCCUAGCCUUGUUGUUUGAUCAGGUUAUACGUGUCCUGGGCCCGGAUAUGUGUGUGAACAGAGCUUCUGCAGUGACUUCACCAGAAAAAGAGGAGCAUGUGGACGACUGCACUGAGCUGUGUGAAACCAUCAUGCAGGAAUCCGAGUCAGAGGAGGAAGUGAGAGAGGGACCAUCGGUCACCGCAAUGAUGGACGAUUCCUGCCCAAAGAGCUGCAAGCAAAGCAGAGCAGUGCCAAGGAAGACCAGAUAAUCAAUGUCAAACGACUGUGCUCCACAUCUCAAGAGGACAUCAAGAAAGUCAAGCUUUUCUAUGACUGGGUCGCCUCAUUGGUAAGCACAGCGAACACAAACCGGCCAUGACCAUAAAGAAGGUGAGGAGGACUGCGUACAUAAAACACAGGACGUAGGGGUUUUGAGGGUGUUGCAGCACCCCCUGAAAAAUCUAUUUUUUUCCUUCACUGAAGAGGAGCGAGACAAUUGAUCAAGGCCAGAUGCAGCAGGCUCUGCUUCAACACGGAAAGGGAAAUUGGUCCUUCAGGCAUGUUUCAAUAGGCAUUAUGUAGGUCAGUUUCACAAUAGUACACAAGAAUUAGACACUAUGCUGGUAAAAAAGAAAAGUGGAUCUUAAUCUGGAAACUCGUGAAAAAUUAUGUUUAGAAAACAUUGCCUGUCUGUCAAUGCAUGUACAUCACAGAUCAUCCUCAGUUACCUUGAAUAAAUGACAUUUUAUGAAUAACUAGAGAUGCUAGCCUGUUUAUCCUUCUGUCAUCAUAUUUAGUGCCAAUCUUGUGGUGUUGAAAGUAACAUGCCAUGGACAUUGGCAAUUUGAAUUAAUAAUAAAAAGACAA
Molecule: long non-coding RNA, 1046 nt
Organism: Salmo salar (Atlantic salmon)
Lineage: Eukaryota; Metazoa; Chordata; Actinopteri; Salmoniformes; Salmonidae
Source: RefSeq, a predicted model, not a curated record